This 429-nucleotide ribosomal RNA is filed under the name bacterium. Its description in RNAcentral is "partial 16S ribosomal RNA". It matches the Rfam family "Bacterial small subunit ribosomal RNA", at positions 355 to 776 of the family's 1533-position model. The record is from RNAcentral.
UAGGGAAUCUUCGGCAAUGGGGGCAACCCUGACCGAGCAACGCCGCGUGAGUGAAGAAGGUUUUCGGAUCGUAACGCUCUGUUGUAAGAGAAGAACGUGUGUGAGAGUGGAAAGUUCACACAGUGACGGUAACUUACCAGAAAGGGACGGCUAACUACGUGCCAGCAGCCGCGGUAAUACGUAGGUCCCGAGCGUUGUCCGGAUUUAUUGGGCGUAAAGCGAGCGCAGGCGGUUUAAUAAGUCUGAAGUUAAAGGCAGUGGCUUAACCAUUGUUCGCUUUGGAAACUGUUAAACUUGAGUGCAGAAGGGGAGAGUGGAAUUCCAUGUGUAGCGGUGAAAUGCGUAGAUAUAUGGAGGAACACCGGUGGCGAAAGCGGCUCUCUGGUCUGUAACUGACGCUGAGGCUCGAAAGCGUGGGGAGCAAACAGG